Molecule: ribosomal RNA, 429 nt
Filed under: Chloroflexota bacterium
Lineage: Bacteria; Bacillati; Chloroflexota
Description: Chloroflexi bacterium partial 16S ribosomal RNA
Rfam family: Bacterial small subunit ribosomal RNA
Source: RNAcentral
UGGGGAAUAUUGCACAAUUGGCGCAAGCCUGAUGCAGCCAUGCCGCGUGUAUGAAGAAGGCCUUCGGGUUGUAAAGUACUUUCAGCGGGGAGGAAGGGAGUAAAGUUAAUACCUUUGCUCAUUGACGUUACCCGCAGAAGAAGCACCGGCUAACUCCGUGCCAGCAGCCGCGGUAAUACGGAGGGUGCAAGCGUUAAUCGGAAUUACUGGGCGUAAAGCGCACGCAGGCGGUUUGUUAAGUCAGAUGUGAAAUCCCCGGGCUCAACCUGGGAACUGCAUCUGGUACUGGCAAGCUUGAGUCUCGUAGAGGGGGGUAGAAUUCCAGGUGUAGCGGUGAAAUGCGUAGAGAUCUGGAGGAAUACCGGUGGCGAAGGCGGCCCCCUGGACGAAGACUGACGCUCAGGUGCGAAAGGGUGGGGAGCAAACAGG